UUUAGUUAAACAUAACAUACCCCAAAUCCCAACAGUUUGAAGUUUAUUAGAGGAAAACCAAUUUUAGAGACAAGGACCAUAGAUUUUCCCACACCAGCUGCAGCAUUUUACUCCCUUCUGGCAAAGCAGUUAUUUAGGAUGGAAGGAGUCAAAAAUGUCUUCUUUAGCCCAGAUUUCAUUGCUUUCACAAGUGAAAGUGAAGAUGUAGACUGACAUUUAAUGAAGCCAGAUAUUUAUGCAACAAUUUUGGACUUCUUUGCACCUGGUUUAUCCUUAGUUUCUGAGGAAGCAUCUUCAGGAGAAGAAGGAUCUGGAAAAAAACUUAUGGUAAAAAUAAGAAAUUGUUAGAAACUAGAAUAUGGCCAACUCUGGAGAAGAUAAAGGAGAAAUGGCCUGUAGAGGAUUUGAGAAUGGUGUUGUACAGCUGAAAUGCCAAGGUUCUUUACUAGCUGUCCUGGUCCAAUCAUUG
RNAcentral lists this long non-coding RNA (469 nucleotides) under Homo sapiens (human). RNAcentral's name for it is "non-protein coding lnc-SNX7-6:1". Lineage: Eukaryota; Metazoa; Chordata; Mammalia; Primates; Hominidae. The record is from RNAcentral.